Molecule: long non-coding RNA, 895 nt
Filed under: Junco hyemalis (dark-eyed junco)
Lineage: Eukaryota; Metazoa; Chordata; Aves; Passeriformes; Passerellidae
Description: lncRNA (ENSJHYG00000005641.1)
Source: RNAcentral
UCACAGGGAACUGUCCUUGCCCCCAGCAGGAGGGGGCUGUGAUCCCAUUCCCACAAAAGGAUCUCCUGGAUGGACUGCUGGCCCGAACCAGCGCGGUGAAUCCCACGUUAACUUAAAAAACAUUAAAAUGAUAACUUCAUCUCGAGUUACUUUCCUAUUCAUCUAUAGAAUUUCUCAAUUAUGUAUGACUAAUUUUGCACAAAGUCAUUAUUUGGAGCAAUUUGUCUAAGUAUGAGAGGCAACACCUUCAACCUUCCUGGAUGGUGGGUGGGGAAAAUGUCAUAAUCAGUUCUGCUUUGGCAUGAGUUAUUAAGCGGUCACAGGAGUUCAAAGGAGAGAAAUAAUGAACAGCCUGUUUGCAGCCAUGCUGUAAUUGCUGCUGCUGGAGAAGCCUCCUCGUUGGGGGAGAGGACAAGUAGCCGCACGACAGCUCAGAGCAAACCCUCUCCCAUCUUCCCAGGGCACAUUUUGUACACCAGAACAGAGAUCCCAGCUCCGAGAUGCCCAGCUCCAGCCCAGAGGUGUCCCAGCCCCACUGCUCCAGCAGAAGGGAGGGAGGGAACUGAUUACAGAAGAGCUGGAGACAAACAACAAACAGACAAACGUACAAAUUAUUUUCACAUCCACCUCCUAAUUGCUUGUUAAAAACCCUCUAGGAGUGCAGGAUCAAAUGGGACACGUUGCUGGAACAGGGAGAAAAAGUGUUUACCUACAGCCUGUCAAAUUUUAGCCUGCAGCAAAAUGAUUUAUAGACAAAUUUGAAGCUUCUUCACAGUUGACAAGUUAAUUCUCACUGGGAAAAAAAAAAGAAAAAAAAAGAGGAAUUAUGACAACACUGAAGAAUGUUAACAUGGUACCUACUCUAAUUGAAUAAAAGACACCUUACAGAGCUGCA